This 497-nucleotide ribosomal RNA is filed under the name uncultured bacterium. Its description in RNAcentral is "partial 16S ribosomal RNA". It matches the Rfam family "Bacterial small subunit ribosomal RNA", at positions 28 to 507 of the family's 1533-position model. The record is from RNAcentral.
GACGAACGCUGGCGGCGUGCCUAAUACAUGCAAGUUGAGCGCUGAAGGUUGGUACUUGUACCGACUGGAUGAGCAGCGAACGGGUGAGUAACGCGUGGGGAAUCUGCCUUUGAGCGGGGGACAACAUUUGGAAACGAAUGCUCAUACCGCAUAAAAACUUUAAACACAAGUUUUAAGUUUGAAAGAUGCAAUUGCAUCACUCAAAGAUGAUCCCGCGUUGUAUUAGCUAGUUGGUGAGGUAAAGGCUCACCAAGGCGAUGAUACAUAGCCGACCUGAGAGGGUGAUCGGCCACAUUGGGACUGAGACACGGCCCAAACUCCUACGGGAGGCAGCAGUAGGGAAUCUUCGGCAAUGGACGAAAGUCUGACCGAGCAACGCCGCGUGAGUGAAGAAGGUUUUCGGAUCGUAAAACUCUGUUGGUAGAGAAGAACGUUGGUGAGAGUGGAAAGCUCAUCAAGUGACGGUAACUACCCAGAAAGGGACGGCUAACUACGUG